GACGAACGCUGGCGGCGUGCUUAACACAUGCAAGUCGAACGGUGAAGCGCCUUCCUUUUUGGUGGGUGUGGAUGAGUGGCGAACGGGUGAGUAACACGUGAGUAACCUGCCCCCUUCUUCUGGAUAACCGCAUGAAAGUGUGGCUAAUACGGGAUAUUCUGGGUCUGUCGCAUGAUGGGUCUGGGAAAGAUAUUGUUUCGGUGGGGGAUGGGCUCGCGGCCUAUCAGCUUGUUGGUGGGGUGAUGGCCUACCAAGGCGGUGACGGGUAGCCGGCCUGAGAGGGUGGACGGUCACAAUGGGACUGAGACACGGCCCAGACUCCUACGGGAGGCAGCAGUGGGGAAUAUUGCACAAUGGGCGCAAGCCUGAUGCAGCGACGCCGCGUGAGGGAUGGAGGCCUUCGGGUUGUGAACCUCUUUCGCCAGUGAAGCAGGCCUGCCUCGUUUGUGGGUGGGUUGACGGUAGCUGGAUAAGAAGCGCCGGCUAACUAUGUG
RNAcentral lists this ribosomal RNA (494 nucleotides) under uncultured bacterium. RNAcentral's name for it is "partial 16S ribosomal RNA". It matches the Rfam family "Bacterial small subunit ribosomal RNA", at positions 28 to 507 of the family's 1533-position model. The record is from RNAcentral.